CUGCAGCUAACGCAUUAAGCACUCGCCUGGGGAGUACGACCGCAAGGUUGAAACUCAAAGGACAUGACCGGGGCCCGCCCAAGCGGCGGAGCAAGUGGUUUAAGUCGAAGCAACGCGAAGAACAGAACCCGGUCUGGACCUCCUUUGACCACYCUGGAGACAGAGCUUUCCCUUCGGGGACAAAGUGACAGGUGGUGCAUGGUUGUCGUCAGCUCGUGUCGUGAGAUGUUGGGUUAAGUCCCGCAACGAGCGCAACCCUUGAUUUUAGUUGCCAGCAUUUAGUUGGGCACUCUAAAGUGACUGCCGGUGCAAGCCGGAGGAAGGUGGGGAUGACGUCAAAUCAUCAUGCCCCUUAUGGCCUGGGCUACACACGUGCUACAAUGGAUAGUACAAAGGGUCGCGAAGCCGCGAGGUGGAGCUAAUCCCAUAAAACUAUUCUCAGUUCGGAUUGUAGGCUGCAACUCGCCUACAUGAAGCCGGAAUCGCUAGUAAUCGUGGAUCAGCAUGCCACGGUGAAUACGUUCCCGGGCCUUGUACACACCGCCCGUCACACCACGAGAGUUUGUAACACCCGAAGUCGGUAGGGUAACCUUUAUGGAGCCAGCCGCCGAAGGUGGGACAGAUAAUUGGGGUGAAGUCGUAACAAGGUAGCCGUAUCGGAAGGUGCGGCUGG
This 673-nucleotide ribosomal RNA is filed under the name Listeria monocytogenes. RNAcentral's name for it is "bacterial SSU rRNA". The record is from RNAcentral. Lineage: Bacteria; Bacillati; Bacillota; Bacilli; Caryophanales; Listeriaceae.